This 274-nucleotide ribosomal RNA is filed under the name uncultured bacterium. Its description in RNAcentral is "partial 16S ribosomal RNA". It matches the Rfam family "Bacterial small subunit ribosomal RNA", at positions 523 to 796 of the family's 1533-position model. The record is from RNAcentral.
AUACGGAGGGAGCUAGCGUUGUUCGGAAUUACUGGGCGUAAAGCGUGCGUAGGCGGAUCGACAAGUUGGGGGUGAAAUCCCAGGGCUCAACCCUGGAACUGCCCUCAAAACUGUUGAUCUAGAGACCGGGAGAGGUAAGCGGAAUUCCUAGUGUAGAGGUGAAAUUCGUAGAUAUUAGGAAGAACACCAGUGGCGAAGGCGGCUUACUGGACCGGUACUGACGCUGAGGUACGAAAGCGUGGGGAGCGAACAGGAUUAGAAACCCCAGUAGUCC